Bactrocera dorsalis (oriental fruit fly) is the source of this 2314-nucleotide RNA transcript. RefSeq lists it as uncharacterized. The transcript is spliced from 4 exons. Lineage: Eukaryota; Metazoa; Arthropoda; Insecta; Diptera; Tephritidae. The record is from RefSeq and is a predicted model, not a curated record.
UCGAAAAAUCAGUGUAAUAACUUAUAAACUAAGGAUUUCAACAAAAAAUCCAGUGUCCCUUUAGUGGGUAAUUGUGGAAAAUAUAUACAUAUGCACAGAAAAGUCGCAAGUGCUAUUUAAAAUAUUUUAUAAAUAUCAUAUCUCUUUAAUUAUUGCCAAUACUAUUUUAAACAACAACAAAAACAAAAAUAGAAUAGGUUUUAUAUUUUACAUACAUAAAACUCAAACUAGUACAUUUCUAUGCUAAAUUAAUACAAAAAUAGAAAUAUGUACAAAAAAAGAAGGAAAAUGAAAAAUGGAGAAAAGGAAGAAUGGAAAAUCAAUUUCGUCAUCUAUUAGGCAAUGGUGGAAAAUCAAAAUAUUUAGGAACAGCUAUGCUUUGCAGUAAAAAUGUAAAUAGAUGUGUCUUUCAAUUCAAAUGAACGCAUUAAUGCAAAAAUGUGCAACAAUGAUAUCCAAUGGCCGCAAAUGAAAGUAGGGAAAAUUGCAACGUUUUGAUUGGAGAUUUAAUCGUACUUUUGCAAUAGGUUAUGCCACUUGAAAUUGCCCCCACAGCACCCGAACCAACUCCAGCCGCUGUAGGUAGCUAUGGCAUUCCAUUAAGUAUUUGACCGAGCGAGCGUCCACUUGGCAGCAUGGCUGUGCGUUGCUGUGGCACGGGCGGUGGAUUCGAUUCGGUCGUCGUGAUUGCUUUGUGCUUUUUUUUGCAGCAACAUUAAAGUCAAUGUGUAUGUAACGAGUGAGUACCUACUACAACUACUAGUACUUACCGUCAUGCAAGCCCGUUUAUCGAGGGUGGAGUCCAAGCACCGUUGAUUGGCCUGCCAACUCUGUUGCAAUGUUGUGCCAUUGGUAGAUAAUUUUAUAGGCAUUUUGAGCCUAUAAACGAAAACCGGAAAUAAACGAGCGAACAAAUGAAUUAAUAUUCGUUCUCAAGUACGAAUGUUGUUGGCGCGCUUACAACUACAAACGUGGCAAUUAAAUCGAAUAUAUUUCACUGACGAGGGGAAAUGCUGUGAUUAGCGUGGAUAAUGAAUAAAAAUUUUGAAGGCUGUAGCUUCCACCCUCCAGCAGUCGCCAGCCAUCAGCUGUUUACAAGCGGCCAUUCUACAAAUGUUUACAAAUCCAUGAGAUACUCAUUUCGUCACAGACACACACACCCAGACAAAAUGUGUAACUAGUAGCUACAAAACAAAGCAGUUGCUCGCUUUCCUGGUCGCCCGCUUUUCCAUACACAAAUCGAAAUUGCUGCAUUGCGACAGCGCAACAUAGCGACAAUAACAACAAAUAUUACAGAGAAUAAACAUCAACAAGCAAAGCAGCAGCCGCAAGCAACGCCACACAACACGCUCCAGAUCCAGAAGCAAAAGUUGGCGCAGAGCUGCCAUCAACGGAAUAUUCAUAUCUAAAUGCUCACGUGAAAUACUUGCUUGAAUGCAGAGGAAGUUUUGCAAUGCUAGGCGAUAAUUUUUUUAACUAAUCAUUUUUUAUUUAAUUAACAAUAAUUUGUUUAAUUAACCAUGAUUUAUUUAAUUAACAAUAAUUUAUUUAAUUAAUAAUGAUUUAUUUAAUUAACAAAAUUUAUUUAAUUAAUAAUGAUUUAUAUAAUUAACAAUAAUGUAUUUAAUUAACGAUCAUUUAUUCAAUUAACAGUAAUUUAUUUAAUUAGCAAUAAUUUAUUUAAUUAACAAUAAUUUAUAUAAUUAACAAUAAUUUAUUUCAUUAACCAUGAUUUAUUUAAUUAACAAUAGUUUAUUUCCAUCCAUUAAAAAGAAGUCAAUUAUAUAUUUAUUCCUAAAUUACUUCAAUAUAUAAAAAUGUCUAACAAUAAUUUCAAUACCUAUAUUUGUAAAAAGAAAAUAUUUGUAUAAUUAUUUUUGAAUAAAAUUGCUUAACAUUUGUUUUUUUACUAAAAAAUUUCGCUAUUUAUUGAAGCUCUUUAAGAGGAGCUAAUUUUUAUUUAUUUUAAAUUUUGAAUCACAUUGGUCACCCUGUGUCGUCGCGUGGCCGCUAACAUUUGAGGUGUUGUAUCUCGGCGCGCGUCAUUUACCAGGUACCCAGAAUCGUUAGAUGGUGUCUGCCGGCUCGACAAAUUGUUGGUAGCGCAACGUGCUGGCCGGUCACAUGCUGAUGUAAACAAAGCGGCAUGCAACAACAAUGCGCGUUGGUUGAAGCGUGCCAAACAGUGGUGGCGCCGUCAAUUGCACGCUUAAAGACCGUGAGUUAAAACGAAAUGACAGUGUGUAUGCGUGUAUGCCGCAUGACAUUGGUGUGAGCGAGCACAAUGGUGAUUGCGUGUGCAGGGAAAUUUAUU